Molecule: ribosomal RNA, 253 nt
Filed under: uncultured bacterium
Lineage: Bacteria
Description: partial 16S ribosomal RNA
Rfam family: Bacterial small subunit ribosomal RNA
Source: RNAcentral
UACGGAGGGUGCAAGCGUCAAUCGGAAUUACUGGGCGUAAAGCGUGCGUAGGCGGUUCGUUAAGUCUGUUGUGAAAGCCCCGGGCUCAACCUGGGAAUGGCAAUGGAUACUGGCGAGCUAGAGUGUGUCAGAGGAUGGUGGAAUUCCCGGUGUAGCGGUGAAAUGCGUAGAGAUCGGGAGGAACAUCAGUGGCGAAGGCGGCCAUCUGGGACAACACUGACGCUCAUGCACGAAAGCGUGGGGAGCAAACAGG